CUUUGGCACUCAGCUUGCAUGCAAGACAUGUUCCCUCAUCUCUUUUCUUUUGUGAAGAAUAGGAACUCCACUGUGUAUACCAUCAUUCACACUGAAUUUCUGGAGGAUCUCUUUCACUUACCAUUGACAGUGGAAGCAUUCCAAUAAUUUGAAUCAAUGGAAGACAUUUGUAUAGCUUUGAGGGGUUCUGAAUAUCUGGAAUGUACUGAUACCUGGAGCUAUAUUUGGGGAAGUGAUCAAUUCUCAGUUGCAAAGGCAUAUAAACUGAUGAUGGGAGUUAAAAUAGUGCCACAACAAUUUAACUGGAUCUGGAAUAGCUCUUGUCAACCCAAGCACAAGGUGUUCUUUUGGAGAUUACUACAUGACAGACUCAAUACCAGGAAUCUCCUUAGAAGGAAAACUUUUCACUUGGACAAUUAUAAUUGUGCUGUAAACAAUUGCCAGCAGGAGGAAACACUUCAACACCUCUUUUGGACAUGUCCUUUUGCUGCAUAG
This 495-nucleotide ribosomal RNA is filed under the name Triticum aestivum (bread wheat). Its description in RNAcentral is "partial small subunit ribosomal RNA". The record is from RNAcentral. Lineage: Eukaryota; Viridiplantae; Streptophyta; Magnoliopsida; Poales; Poaceae.